Molecule: long non-coding RNA, 1157 nt
Filed under: Pogona vitticeps (central bearded dragon)
Lineage: Eukaryota; Metazoa; Chordata; Lepidosauria; Squamata; Agamidae
Description: lncRNA (ENSPVIG00000003401.1)
Source: RNAcentral
GGCUUCUGGGAGUUGUAGUCCAAGUACAUCUGGGGACCCAAGGCUGGGAACCACUGCUUUAGACUUACGAGAUAUGGGAUGAUUUCUCAUGAAAUUCGUUGUUCUUGUUGAGACAGACAUGGUAUGAAGAGUUUGUUAACAUCCAUUUUGUUCACAAGACCCAUUUCCUCUCCUCCCCCCUGCAUGGAAAAUUGCCUGUGUGGAAAAUCAUAUGUAUUUUGGUGUGUGCUUUUUCUAAUGAUCACAAUUCCCGCAAAUCUUCCCCGCUGACUCAUACAUUUUGCAUAUAUUAUGUGUAUAUUUCUUUCCUCUCUCCCCCACCAAAAAAAGAUGAUGAAAAGCAAGAAGAAGAAAACUGAUGUUGACAGUUUUAGCCUGAUGUAUAAGGAAACGAAGAUAUUCACAUGCUUCUGUUUGUAUUCUGGUGGACAAGAGAGAAAAAUGUGUAAAAUAUCUCGGUUGAGGAAAGUGGCGGGUGUUGGAACAUGUCAGGAGGCUCCGCCGAUUAUAGCAGGUCCCAGAACUGCCUCGCCUGAAUUGAUGCAACUUUGUUAGAGACCCAGCCAUGAAGUAAAGUGAAAAAUCGACAGCAGCCUCGGGCGGAAAAACACUCGGGCGUUUGCUCCAUCAAAACAUCUACGCUGCCGGUAAUAGUAACAAGCAUCUGCCUCCAAGCCAGUUCUGACUUACGACAGUCCUUUUCAGGAUUUUCCAGGCAGAGAUUUUUCAGAGGCGGUUGACUUUUCGCUUCUUUCUGGGGUGCCCUGGGACUACCGUGCGGCUGGCCCAAGGCCACCCGGGUUGGCUCUUCUCCCAGUGGGGAGAAUCGAACUUGCAAAUUCUGGCUCCUCUGUCACAAACCUGAACCCCUGAGCCCUCCAGCCAGCCUUGUCAAGUCAAUUCCGACUUACGGUGACCCUUUCUAGCCAUUUUUCCUGGUAGAGAAUACUCAGAAGUGGUUCACAAUUCCCCAGGGAUGUUGGCAAGUUUUUGGGUCCGAGUUCGAAGUCUGAGUCUUUGGAACAAAGUCCCAGGCUCCCAUUCAAAACAAGCUAUCCCCCCUGCCCCCCAGGAAAAAAGGAAGGGGUGGGUAGGUUCCAAAUUGUGAGUCAAGUCAGAGUCAUUGAAAAAAUAAAAAAAGAGUCUGUGUUGAGUCA